UUUUUUUUUUUUUUUUUGAGACAAGUCUCACUGUCACCCAGAUUGGAGUGCAGUGGCGGCAACCUCUGUCUCCCAGGUUCAAGUGUUUCUCCGGUCUCAGCCUCCUGAGUAGCCAGGACUACAGGCAUGCACCGCCACCCCCGGCUGAUUUUUAUAUUUUUAGUAGAGACAGGGUUUCAGUAUGUUGGCCAGACUGGUCUUGAACACCUGACUUCAAGUGACCCGCCUGCCUCGGCCUCCCAAAGUGGUGGGAUUACAAGCAUGAGCCACUCUGUGCCUGGCCAUUCUAGGCAUUCUUAAUUGUGCAAGUCUGAGGUAGGUGGUAGGGUCUGUGUCCUCCGAAUCAAGAGUAGGAUACUUGAGGGUAAUACACAGAAUAAUUAUUGUUUUGGAGCAUGCAGAUACAAUUUUAAAAGUCACCUUGAUGUAUGAGUCAUUCUUGAAACUCUCAAUUAGUGGAGUUUUUUUUUCCAGGCAGGUUAGGGUAGACGCCAAAUGGACAGGAUGUUUUGGUUAUGUGUUGCCUUUUUUUAAAAGAUCAAUACCUCUGAAUUAAAGUUGUGUAGGGACCUAAGUGCUCAUUUUCUGUAGAGUUUUAAAUAACAUCUGCAAAUCUCCAUUAUUUUUCUUAAAGGUAUUUGUCCUUUAGGAGUAGAAAGUAAUUGUUGUAAAUGUAACUAACCUGAACUUCACCCUUGGGAAUUUAAUGACCUUAUUUUUACCGGUCGUGGUUCACACUGAAUUUUCUCUCACUUCUUGUUCCUCAUUCUGUCCAUGCAACCUAUCCUUUUUGGGCCGUUUUUAUUUCUUGCUCCUUACCUGUAUGGCAGCCUCCCUGUUCCUCACUACAAGGGUGAGUAGGUGGGGGUGGAGAAGAAGAGCUCCAUAGUGUGAACAUACAUAGAUGUGAAAAUUCGCAGGCUACAAACUCUGUGCCUGAUGGAACCCCACAAGUGUUCAUUCACUCAGCCUCUUUACGCAUGUUUUAGAUAAGAUGCUCCUGGUUAUUAUACUAGAUUUCUGGAAAAGCCAAAUGAGAAGGAGCUGGCAAUGAAGGCCGGCGGUAGAUACACUGAUUGCAACAAGGAAUAAUAGCUGCCAUUUAUUGGGUGACCCUGAAAAUUAUAACAGGACCUUUAAAACCAAGGCCACUUGGGGCCAUUUAGUGAAGGGACAAGGCUCUCUGUUCCUUUUAUGUCAGUAUAGUGCAAUUUAAAAAAUAGUUAAGAUGACUCUGGGCGUCCAGAAAAGGUAAAUCUGACAUCAGUUUUUCAAAGAAGACAGAGAAAUGUGCGAUCUGUUUUUGAGUCAGUUAUCUGGAAAAUUUCCCAAGCAAGGGUUGAAGAGUGGAGAUUUCUUUUACUAAGGAAGCUAGCUUAAAAGAUUUGUUUUAAUGGAAACAGUUAAAUAGUUGAUGACUAAGUUUUUCUUUAGCAAUUACUUUUACGAUAUGAUGUGGUUGAAAAUAACCUCCAAAUAUUCUGGAGUUUCUUUUACAUGUAAUAGUGACAUUUGUUUUUCAUGGUAAUUGAAAAUGUUUCACAUUUAACUUCUGUAAUGAAUACAGUUUUAAUUUAUUUUAGAUUUGAAAUGUCAGUGACUUGGGAAGGGUCCAGAGUGUGUAGCUUUUACUUUACCUUUGACUUUGUUGUUGUUGUGGAGAU
RNAcentral lists this long non-coding RNA (1664 nucleotides) under Macaca mulatta (Rhesus monkey). RNAcentral describes it as "lncRNA (ENSMMUG00000056621.1)". Lineage: Eukaryota; Metazoa; Chordata; Mammalia; Primates; Cercopithecidae. The record is from RNAcentral.